GUGGCUCAGAAGUUAAGAGCGCUGGUUGCUCACUCCAGAGGUCCUGAGUUCAAUUCUCAGC
Molecule: transfer RNA, 61 nt
Filed under: Rattus norvegicus (Norway rat)
Lineage: Eukaryota; Metazoa; Chordata; Mammalia; Rodentia; Muridae
Rfam family: tRNA
About the family: Transfer RNA (tRNA) molecules are approximately 80 nucleotides in length. Their secondary structure includes four short double-helical elements and three loops (D, anti-codon, and T loops). Further hydrogen bonds mediate the characteristic L-shaped molecular structure. tRNAs have two regions of fundamental functional importance: the anti-codon, which is responsible for specific mRNA codon recognition, and the 3' end, to which the tRNAs corresponding amino acid is attached (by aminoacyl-tRNA synthetases). tRNAs cope with the degeneracy of the genetic code in two manners: having more than one tRNA (with a specific anti-codon) for a particular amino acid; and 'wobble' base-pairing, i.e. permitting non-standard base-pairing at the 3rd anti-codon position.
Source: Rfam by way of RNAcentral